This 898-nucleotide ribosomal RNA is filed under the name uncultured bacterium. Its description in RNAcentral is "bacterial SSU rRNA". It matches the Rfam family "Bacterial small subunit ribosomal RNA", at positions 33 to 914 of the family's 1533-position model. The record is from RNAcentral.
ACGCUGGCGGCGUGCCUAAUACAUGCAAGUAGAACGCUGAAGGAGGAGCUUGCUUCUCUGGAUGAGUUGCGAACGGGUGAGUAACGCGUAGGUAACCUGCCUGGUAGCGGGGGAUAACUAUUGGAAACGAUAGCUAAUACCGCAUAACAGUAGAUGUUGCAUGACAUUUGCUUAAAAGGUGCAAUUGCAUCACUACCAGAUGGACCUGCGUUGUAUUAGCUAGUUGGUGGGGUAACGGCUCACCAAGGCGACGAUACAUAGCCGACCUGAGAGGGUGAUCGGCCACACUGGGACUGAGACACGGCCCAGGCUCCUACGGGAGGCAGCAGUAGGGAAUCUUCGGCAAUGGACGGAAGUCUGACCGAGCAACGCCGCGUGAGUGAAGAAGGUUUUCGGAUCGUAAAGCUCUGUUGUAAGAGAAGAACAGGUGUGAGAGUGGAAAGUUCACACUGUGACGGUAUCUUACCAGAAAGGGACGGCUAACUACGUGCCAGCAGCCGCGGUAAUACGUAGGUCCCGAGCGUUGUCUGGAUUUAUUGGGCGUAAAGCGAGCGCAGGCGGUUAGAUAAGUCUGAAGUUAAAGGCUGUGGCUUAACCAUAGUACGCUUUGGAAACUGUUUAACUUGAGUGCAAGAGGGGAGAGUGGAAUUCCAUGUGUAGCGGUGAAAUGCGUAGAUAUAUGGAGGAACACCGGUGGCGAAAGCGGCUCUCUGGCUUGUAACUGACGCUGAGGCUCGAAAGCGUGGGGAGCAAACAGGAUUAGAUACCCCUGGUAGUCCACGCCGUAAACGAUGAGUGCUAGGUGUUAGACCCUUUCCGGGGUUUAGUGCCGCAGCUAACGCAUUAAGCACUCCGCCUGGGGAGUACGACCGCAAGGUUGAAACUCAAAGGAAUUGAC